UACGGGGGGAGCAAGCGUUGUUCGGAUUUACUGGGCGUAAAGGGUGUGUAGGUGGCGCGCUAAGUCGGGUGUGAAAUUUCGGAGCUUAACUCCGAAACUGCAUUCGAUACUGGCGUGCUUGAGGACUGGAGAGGAGACUGGAAUUCAUGGUGUAGCAGUGAAAUGCGUAGAGAUCAUGAGGAAGACCAGUGGCGAAGGCGGGUCUCUGGACAGUUCCUGACACUGAGACACGAAGGCCAGGGGAGCAAACGGG
This 253-nucleotide ribosomal RNA is filed under the name uncultured bacterium. RNAcentral describes it as "partial 16S ribosomal RNA". It matches the Rfam family "Bacterial small subunit ribosomal RNA", at positions 524 to 776 of the family's 1533-position model. The record is from RNAcentral.